GGCUUACACUUGAUCUCUGAACUACAGGUAAGUAAACUUGUUGACAAGUUCACAUACUGAUGCU
This is a small nucleolar RNA of Malania oleifera, 64 nucleotides long. RefSeq annotates it as small nucleolar RNA snoR101. The record is from RefSeq and is a predicted model, not a curated record. The transcript has a single exon. Lineage: Eukaryota; Viridiplantae; Streptophyta; Magnoliopsida; Santalales; Ximeniaceae.